UUUUGGUUUGUGGAAUGUUACUUACCUCUUGGGUGUCAGAUUGCUGAAAAGUAACUUUUAGUAUUUAGUUUACUUUGAAUUGUCCUUAUGAAUGUAAUAUUGGUAAUCUGGUAGGGUUUAGGCAAACUAAUGUGAUUGGUGAACGGUUAGGAAUGAGCUGGAUAAAAGCUUGUUUUUAUUUGUUUAUAAAGUUAAAUAAAUGAGUUUGAACGAAAAAUUUAAAACUUGUUUAAUAAAUGAAUGAACAUGAAUAUUAUGAGUUUCGCUCGACUUUUCAUGAACAUGUUCGUUUAAGAGUUCAUAAACAUGUUUACUUAAAGCUCAUUUAUGUUUAUUCAUAUAAAGCAUAUUAUAUUUAUUAUAUAAAAUAUAGAUUAUUUAAAAAUUUUGAAAAUUUUUAAUUCAGAAUUGGA
This 413-nucleotide unclassified non-coding RNA is filed under the name Hevea brasiliensis (rubber tree). Lineage: Eukaryota; Viridiplantae; Streptophyta; Magnoliopsida; Malpighiales; Euphorbiaceae. The record is from RNAcentral.